CGGAUGUCGUGGUGAAAGUACUGCGAAAUCAAAGAUGUGUGUGCUGACUGUGUUGGAGUACAAGUGAUGACCGCACUGCUUGAAAUGAAGUCUUCAGUGCCUUCCUCUCUGCAAAAUCAAAGGACGUGGCAAAUUUCUACUUGCCUGCCAUAUGGAAAGCAAAAACCGCAGUAGAAGAUAUUUGUUUCACAGUAUCGAAGAUGAAAAAUUGCUAAUAGCUCUUAAGCUUCUAAGCAGUGUACGAUGGAAAGAAGUAAUGGCAUAAUGUAUGAAAUCAAAUUUAUAGAAUUGUAACUUUUCAUCUAUGGUAACUAUGCUGCUCUACUCUCCAUUUCCUUGAUGGAGACAGGAUUUUUAAGAGAAAUGUAAUGGUAUAAAUUUUUUACAAGGCAAGGUUGUUAGCCCCAUGCCUAACCCCCAGCCUGGAGGAUCAGGAUUUGUAUUGGACUACACUGGGAGUACGCUGGCCAAAUGUUAUCUCAAACCAAGAACUAUGGCAACGCACCCAACAAUGGAAAGCUGAGAUAACCGUAAAAGAAAGGCAAUGGAGAUGGAUUGGACACACCCUGAGAAGAGGCCCGCAACAUAUUCCAAAGCAGGCUUUAGAAUGGAACCAACAGGGAGCAAGGAGGAGAGGCAGACCAAGGUCGACCUGGUGCAGGACUGUUGAAGCUGAGGUGGCAGCCGUUGGCCACUCCUGGAGUAACAUCAAUAAAAUGGCAACGAACAGGAUCAGAUGGAGAGCUCUAAUAUGUGCCCUAUGCUCCACGUUGGAGUAAAAGGAAUUAAGUCAAAUCUAUCUACUAGACCAUAGGUGGGCAACUGGUGACCCAUGGUACAGUUUUGGCCCAUGAUUGGUUUCAAUCCAAACUGCAGAAGAAGUUUGUGGAGCAAGGUGUUAAAAGAUUUUGCAACAGAAACUUUUAAGACAGUUAUUCCAAAAGAAACAAUGUUCCCAAAGGGUAAAUAAAUGUAAACAUCUGAAAAUUGGGUAAACAUAAAAUGAAUGUACUUUCAAAAUUGCACGUUUUGAGUUAUAAUUUGUUGGCAUGGUGUGUUGGGAAAUGGUUGCCGUUCGUAACCAUGUAUUAUGCAUAAAUAUUAAUGUCAGGGGUGCUACAGUUUUGAUGUGAUGUGCUAAGAGUGGUGCUGUCCCAUCUUGUGACGAAGUGGCCCGCAAGCUUAAAUAAGUAUGUGAAUCACGCCCAUGGGUCACUAAAGGUUGCCCCUACCUGUACUGUACCAACAGCUAGGGUGUUCAACUGAUCCUUUCCAUUCCCAUUUCCAAAAAAAAAACUAUACUGUAGAAGUUAAUUUAUUUAUGAUUUUUGUGUCUGCAGUGAUGCAAUUACCAUAUCAUUGAGUGUAAUGUGUCGACUUGUAACAUGCCCGUCUGCAUGCUGUGCACUAACUAGAGGAAGGGGGAAUGCACUGCCACAUAGUUAGCCUUACUUUGAAGAGGUGAGUCAUGCUCAUGCUCACAAUCUAAUAUGAAGCCACCUUAUCAGCAGCCAUUCCCAUGGAAGAGAAUGGCUGCCUAAUUGAGGGCUACUGUCCCAGUCAGAAGGAUCAUGUUGUUUUCAUGCUGCUCCUGAUUCUGAACUUUUUAACUGACAAGGUGGUAAGGAUUUCAAGUCGAACACCGAAGACCAAAGCGUCAUGGAGUUCGUGCUGCAUCCUAUUAGUAUUCAAUCUCCAGCUUUCUACAAAUUCCUCCAUCAUCAUCGUCAGGAGAUUUCAGUACGCCUUUACGUACCAAAAAGCCUAUUGAAAUCUCCUGAUGGAUAACAUAGGGGAAAGAAAGGAAGAUUAUGUUGGUUGGUUUGUUGUUUAAUGGGACUAAACAACUAAGGUCAUCAGUCCCAAAAUAAGAUUUGGGGUUUUGAUGUCCUGUCGAUGAGGUCAGUAGAAAUGGAGCACAAGAUGGAUUGAUUUUGUUAAGGAUGAGGAAGGAAAUUGGCUGUGCCCUAUCAAAGGAACCACUGAAACAUUUGCAUGAAGUGACUUAGUGAAAUCAUGUUCAACUAUUUUUGAGAGUACAAUGGCACACUGCCUCCAACAAUCCAGAUUUGGGUUUAAAUCUGGAUUGUCGGAGGCAGAUUUGAACUGCUGUCCUCCCAAAGUCUAGUGUGCUAACCACUGCAGCACAUUGCUCAUCAACAAUGGAGGAAGUUACUGAAAACUCAAGACUGAAUACAAAUUUGAUGCCACAAGAACACUGUGAACAUUUAUUCAAGA
Schistocerca piceifrons (Central American locust) is the source of this 2238-nucleotide long non-coding RNA. RefSeq lists it as uncharacterized. The record is from RefSeq and is a predicted model, not a curated record. The transcript has 5 exons. NCBI's taxonomy places the organism in Eukaryota, Metazoa, Arthropoda, Insecta, Orthoptera, Acrididae.